UUAGGGUUUGUGUCUUUGUGAGCGCCGCCCGAGCUCCAUUCCCUCAGUCCCUCUCCCCUCUCCUAGUCUUCCUCUCCUCCGGACCUCCGCCCUCUCCUCCCCCUUGCCGACUCCUUCCGCCUCCCCGUCGACGGCGACCGCAGCGGCUCGACGGGUUCCUAGGACGUUGCUUCCGCCUUCUUGGGGCUUUUCGUCGUCUCGCGACUUGCCGGCGGACGGUGACUGCUUUGUCUUCUCCACGGCGACGGCCUCCGUCUCCUGCCCUAUCCGUGCGUUCUCUCCCCUUCUCCGCUAGUAGUAUAGUCAUGCUAUCUCUGAUUUCCUUCCGCCAUCUCUUUCUGUCUCUGUUUCUUGAUCUUAGGGAUCUUGGAUCUCAAAGCGGCGGAGGACGUGAGGGCGCUCUUUCUCUUCUUCAAAGCGGCGACUACUGUGGAGUCCAGCAGCGCUGCAGCAGGUAUGCCGGUGGAGGGAAAUGGUUUGGUUUUUACUUUUUAUGGUUUGAUUCAUGGCGAAGGCUAGGGCUUCCAGAUUUUUUCCCCCACCCGAAUCGAAGCCGUCGAUGAUUUCCGGAGAGAAAAAAAUUUGGGGAUGGCGCCUAGAAUCCUAGAUCAGAGAUUUUGAGGGCUCCCGUUUCCAUUUUCUUUUAUUUUUUCCAAUAAAAAAAUUGUAAUCUGUUAAUUUCUCUCCUCCCCUUGUUCCUCUCCGUGUUUUCUUUUUA
This 718-nucleotide long non-coding RNA is filed under the name Phoenix dactylifera (date palm). RNAcentral's name for it is "long non-coding RNA (PDAC_LNC003121)". The record is from RNAcentral. Lineage: Eukaryota; Viridiplantae; Streptophyta; Magnoliopsida; Arecales; Arecaceae.